RNAcentral lists this ribosomal RNA (776 nucleotides) under uncultured bacterium. Its description in RNAcentral is "bacterial SSU rRNA". It matches the Rfam family "Bacterial small subunit ribosomal RNA", at positions 139 to 916 of the family's 1533-position model. The record is from RNAcentral.
GGGAAUAACCCGUCGAAAGGCGGACUAAUACCGCAUAACAAUCAAGAGCUGCAUGGUUUUUGAUUUAAAGAUUUAUCGGUUAUGGAUGGGCAUGCGUUCCAUUAGGUAGUUGGCGGGGCAACGGCCCACCAAGCCUUCGAUGGAUGGGGGUUCUGAGAGGAAGGUCCCCCACACUGGUACUGAGACACGGACCAGACUCCUACGGGAGGCAGCAGUGAGGAAUAUUGGUCAAUGGGCGAGAGCCUGAACCAGCCAAAUCGCGUGAAGGAUGAAGGUAUUAUGUAUUGUAAACUUCUUUUAUCAGGGAAUAAAGUGCAGCACGUGUGCUGUUUUGUAUGUACCUGAAGAAUAAGGAUCGGCUAACUCCGUGCCAGCAGCCGCGGUAAUACGGAGGAUCCAAGCGUUAUCCGGAUUUAUUGGGUUUAAAGGGUGCGUAGGCGGACUGUCAAGUCAGCGGUGAAAGUUUGCGGCUUAACCGUAAAAUUGCCGUUGAAACUGGCAGUCUUGAGUGUAGAUGAGGUGGGUGGAAUUCGUAGUGUAGCGGUGAAAUGCUUAGAUAUUACGAAGAACUCCGAUUGCGUAGGCAGCUCACUGGGCUACAACUGACGCUGAGGCACGAAGGUGCGGGGAUCAAACAGGAUUAGAUACCCUGGUAGUCCGCACAGUAAACGAUGAAUACUAGUUGUUUGCGAUACACAGCAAGUGACACAGCGAAAGCGUUAAGUAUUCCACCUGGGGAGUACGCCGGCAACGGUGAAACUCAAAUGAAUUGACGG